UUAUAGAAUCUAGAAAGUGCCUAGUACUCCGCAAAGGGGAAUUCCUUGGUCAUUACUGGAAGCUAAAUUGUGGCCAUCUGAUUCAGCAGAUGGAAGAAAUGGAUUUUGCAUUUUCUUCCUGUUUUGCCAGCCAGGUAACCCCCGGUGGAGAUAGGCACCUGUGAGAAGUAUCACUGCUUCGUGGGUCAGGGGCUUGGACCCACCAGGGCUGUGUCACCUGCGGAUCAUGUGAACUCAACUCCCACCCCCCGGCCCCUGCCCAGCCUCCCCCACCAGGCUCGAUGUAAAGUGAUGGUGAAGUGAAAAUAGAUUUGGGGCCCUUGCCACCUCUUUCUGGUUGGUAACUUUGUUUCUUGGACAACAAUGCAGAGUUUGAAGCCCAUCCAGGGACAACAUUCCAUCUGCCCCCUGCAAGUUCCGGUGCGGUCUUCGCUAAGAGGCCAAGCAAGAUGAUGUAAUCACCUGAUGAGUUCCUCCUGCCCACUGCACAGACAAAACCAAUUCACUGAGACGACGGCAUUGCAAUAAAGAAAGAGCUUAAUUGACACAAGG
Long non-coding RNA from Gorilla gorilla gorilla (western lowland gorilla), 552 nucleotides. RefSeq lists it as uncharacterized. The record is from RefSeq and is a predicted model, not a curated record. The transcript has 3 exons. NCBI's taxonomy places the organism in Eukaryota, Metazoa, Chordata, Mammalia, Primates, Hominidae.